ACUCCUGCGGGAGGCAGCAGUGGGGAAUUUUGGACAAUGGGCGAAAGCCUGAUCCAGCCAUGCCGCGUGCAGGAUGAAGGCCUUCGGGUUGUAAACUGCUUUUGUACGGAACGAAACGGCCUUUUCUAAUAAAGAGGGCUAAUGACGGUACCGUAAGAAUAAGCACCGGCUAACUACGUGCCAGCAGCCGCGGUAAUACGUAGGGUGCAAGCGUUAAUCGGAAUUACUGGGCGUAAAGCGUGCGCAGGCGGUUAUGUAAGACAGUUGCGAAAUCCCCGGGCUCAACCUGGGAACUGCAUCUGUGACUGCAUAGCUAGAGUACGGUAGAGGGGGAUGGAAUUCCGCGUGUAGCAGUGAAAUGCGUAGAUAUGCGGAGGAACACCGAUGGCGAAGGCAAUCCCCUGGACCUGUACUGACGCUCAUGCACGAAAGCGUGGGGAGCAAACAGGAUUAGAUACCCUGGUAGUCC
This 469-nucleotide ribosomal RNA is filed under the name uncultured organism. RNAcentral describes it as "partial 16S ribosomal RNA". It matches the Rfam family "Bacterial small subunit ribosomal RNA", at positions 335 to 796 of the family's 1533-position model. The record is from RNAcentral.